CACAUAGCAGGGAGGUUGAAACUAGAUGAUCUUUGAGAUCUUUUCAACCCAGGCCAUUCUAUGAUUCUAUGACUUAUCCUGAUUUGCUUAUUUAUCCAUUCCAGAUCAGGGACCUUAGUGUUGAAAAAUCUAUUAUGAGAUUGUUGGUUUUUUUCUGUGGUUUUUUUUUUUUUUUUAAUUUGAGAUGAUUUUCUCUGAAGCUGAGCACUAACAACACAGAAACUGGUUUGGACCUUUGAACCCCUGUAAAAAGAGAAAAAGGUGAGUGGCUUUUUCAGAUGAGCAGUUAUGAAGAACAGCUUUGGCAACCAAAUUGUAUGGAAUGCACUAUCCAUGAUUAUAUGGAACGUCAUUAUUCUGUGAAAUACAAUUAGUAAUAUGGAAUGCAGCCUUAAUCAGGAGCCAAAUGUGUGAUAAGUUUCUUUUUUUCCUCUCAGUCCUGUUUUGCCUUAUUGUUGUUGUUAUUAAAAGUAUAUAGUUCUUUACCCAGCCAGUUAGCAUAACAAAUCUCUCACAGUUUGGGCAUGUAAAAAAUGAUCUGUCAGGGUCUAAUAAGCUACCCUUGAUCUGCCUUAUAGCCAGUGGAAAGAACGAUCACAGAUUAUGGUUAAGCAACUAAGUUAAGUGAGACAAAUUUCUUCUGGUAGUGCAUAUUUUUCUCAGGUGCCUCAUCUGUAAUUAGGUUAAUAAUUGUUUGAUUAGGUUAAAAAAAAAAAAACAAAAAUAAAACACAUUUUCCAUGGAUAUGUUUCCUAAAUAAAAUUUGUAUUUCUUCUAUGCAUGGCUUGUUCUUUUUUUCCUAAAACCAGACCAGUUUUAUUACUCAGAAGAGCUUCUUUGUGUUUACUGUUCACUGUGCGUAUAGAUCAUUUCCACGUGAACAGGCUGAUUUUUUAUCAACUCAGAAGUUUUCUGUUGUCUCUUUUGUUAACUUCACUGUGUGACAGAUGGGUCCUGUGCCGUCUGUCUGAAUAGGCAGGAAACAGUUCUGAGGAUGGCUGCAAAGUUCACUGUUAGGAACAACACAAGUAUGCACAAUGCUUCUCCAUUUAUAGUCUUUGGGGAGAGUGAUUUUCUGGUUCUUUUAACAAAACAGACUUUCUCUAACUCCUGCAAGUUAGCUGCUAUAUAGUUAUUUAGUUGCUACAUUCUGUGAUCUUUAGUUACCAUUGAACUUUUAUGUAAAAUGUCAUGAUGUUUUCUAAGCAAAUCAUGUUAAAAAACAUGUAUUUGGAUCAGGGACUGAAUUGGACAGAACAUAAUAGAGUACAAUAAUAAAUACACAUAAGAGGACUAAAACCAUGAAAUUGAUGGAGAUAAGCAAUUUUUACUAUUUUGUCCAGACCUGUGGCCCUAAUUCAGCAAAUCACUAAAGCAUGGGCUUAAUUCCUGCUGCACUAAAUGGGACCUCUCAUAUACAUGAAGAUUACACAUUCCUAAGCACUUUGCUCUUUAUAGACACUUCUGUGCUUACCUCCCUUGCUAAUGCAUGCAUCCUAUUCCUCCCUACUGCAAAAUAAAUAAAUAAAUAAAUAUUAACCUGACUCCUGUUUACCAUAAUCCCCCAGGCAGUAUGCUAAUACAAGCACACAGAGCAAUCUGAGCUAAUGGAGACAUAUCUGUUACUAUUACCAAACACUGGACUAUUGCAAAUGCACUUACAUCUUAUCAGCAUUACUGAGGCAUCUUAUUGUUGUUAUUUUUUUUUUUCAUUAUUAUUUACUAUUGCAUGUAGACAUUCCUACUGACUCAGUCUUUCCUGGGGCUUUCUGACAGAGGUAGCAUUUCAAAUCCAGACUCUUGUUUUUGGAUUACUGAAAAUCUCAUGCUGAUAUUGAGUUGUAGCAAGUUUAUGUAGGAAGAUAAGAAAUGGUCAUUGUCAAGAAAAUGCAUAGCAGAGAGCACAGCUCAGAGUAGAUAUCACUUAUUUGAGUUUGCCAUAAUAUUUUUAAUUUAUAGUGAAUGUCUCCCUGUUGAUAGAAAUAUCUUUCAAACCAUUGUAGAGAUUAAAGGUGUCUAUUGUUCCUGCUCCUAGGACAAUUGAUUCCUCCUGACAUCUUCAAAUGGCUGAAUCUGUUCGGUAUUAAAGCCCUCCUGUAUUGCUGGAGUAAGGAAAAGAAACCAGCACCUCUACGUGCGGUAUGUGUGAUACUUCCACCUGUGAUACCUCACCUGAACCUAUCUUGCAAUGUAACUGUAGUGACUCCAGUUAAAUCAACGAGAAAAUGACUGAGCUUAACUUUGAGGCAAUUGGACUCAUUUCAGCAGUGGUGAAGACUUGUUUUCCAACUGUCAUAUUGGUCUUCAUCAGACAGUUCACCAACUGUGUUCUCAGCGCCUCUCUUACUUCAGAAGAAAACAUUUGUUUCAUUUCAUGAACCCACCUUGCCACUAAGAGAAAAAAAUAUUGCCAGGGACACAGAAUGGCCUUAGCAUGACUGUAGGGAUGUAUCAGUUAAAUUCAAAUUAAAAUAAUACAGAUGCUUGUCCUGUCUGUGCCACUAGUUGUAUGCCUGAAAGUGCUAUAUGAUUUCCAAGCAAGUUCGUUCAUUUACUAGCUAUUAAGCUAACAUGAAAAGCAAAAAAACCAAACUAUUUUAGGUUUAUUUAUUGAAUUAAAUCCAGAAAAGUUGUGUCUGUUCUUUAAUUGAGUGGCUGUGGGCUGAUAUGUGACAUACCUUUGGGAAAAACAAAUCAAGGAUUAUUUAAGUGCUUGUUUAUUUCAAGAAAUGCAAAACAUGCAGUUUGAGAAGCUGAAUCAUUAAAACAAUUGCAAUGGAACAGACUGCUUUUCACACAGAGAUGAAAAUCUUUGCAUAGAUCAUCUAAUCUGUAUGUGCUGCUUUUUCUACCAGUGUUUUAUUCUGUUGAGGUAUUAACCUUGAAUUCUUCAAAAGUUGCUAGUUAGGUUGACACACAGCUAGAUAUUUCACAAGAUUAAAAAAAAAAAAAUACUGUGUUAAAUUACUCAUUGAUAUUACAUGUUGUACUUACACUCCUUCCUAGAACUAGGUGUAUACAGAGGAGGCUUUUGUUUACUCACAAUAAUUUGUUUUAUUCUGAAGAGAAGAUUUCUGCAGUUUGCAUUGAAGAGGGGUGAGAUUCAUGAUUGUUUCCAUCCUCACAUGGAAGAGCGCUCCAGAGCUCCUUCUGUCAACAUAAUUGCCUGCCCAGCUGAUAGCUCCACCACCCCUGGGGAGUGGAUCCUUUCAGCAAGGCCUUUAUCACAGUGAGAAAUUAUUAUCCCCAAAGUAACCUGGAUCUAGCCAAUUUAGGGCUUUGAAGAUUAGGAUUAGAACAAGGAAUAUGAUUUAACAUUCACAGAAGAGCCAGCAAACUGCUCACAGCCCUGGGAUGAUGUACCAAAAUUGACUUAUUUUGCUUAGCAAGCAGAGUGAUGAGUUUUGAUCAGCUGCCCAUUGAAGGCUAUCAUUGGCACUGCCAGUGCAGAAUAUUACAACAGUGCAACCUGGGAGCCAUGAAUAUGUACAAGGCUAUUGCCAAGUCAGCAUCUGAGAGGAUGUUCAUAGGAACAGCCUGCUGGCUCAUUGUGGAUGAGAGAAUUUAUUUUUGACAGAUUUCAUACCUGGGAGGACAGCAGCUAACCCUGAGGCUCUGAGCUCUUGUGAUGGUCAGAAAACAGACCCCUCAAUUGAGGACCUUGUCAUGGUUUUGGCUAGUUCUUCAAAAUAUCACCCAUUUCCUGCUAAUCCUGCUUCUGUCUUGUUCAGAUUUAUUCUCAGCCAGCUGAAUCUCUGUUCGGAAGCUGAUCUUCUAUAGGCACUGAGGCAGAUGGGAAGUAGUGCUGCUAGUGUAUGAUGUGAGAGAUGGUUUGAACUGAGAGUCAGUAACAUACUGUUCAGUGUGGUGGUUCAAAAAUAUCUUCUGGUAGAUUUACAUGUAUGCCUACCAGAAUAAAACAGGAGACUGGAGAAGUUCACCAGCAAGAGGCCCAGAUAAGAUGCACAGUUACCAGUUACAAACGUUUUGGAUCACUCACAGUGGAAUGAUUCGAUCUGGCCUUGUUCAGUUUGCUCUGCUGUGAGUAGCUGCAUGCUAUGGCUAGAAUGGCAAAGGUAGCUGCAAGACUCAACAGAAGUACAAGACUUUUAUCACAGCCUGUGACUGUAUUUCUGUAAAUAUAAAAACCAAGCAGAAUUGUUACCUAGCACUCCCCCUCUUUUA
Molecule: long non-coding RNA, 4185 nt
Organism: Gallus gallus (chicken)
Lineage: Eukaryota; Metazoa; Chordata; Aves; Galliformes; Phasianidae
Exons: 3
Source: RefSeq, a predicted model, not a curated record